This 212-nucleotide small RNA is filed under the name Arabidopsis thaliana (thale cress). Its description in RNAcentral is "ATSL146040". Lineage: Eukaryota; Viridiplantae; Streptophyta; Magnoliopsida; Brassicales; Brassicaceae. The record is from RNAcentral.
AAAACGUGAUAUCUUUUAGUUGUUUUACAAAUUACAAUGGACCUAUGGAUUAUAGUGAUAUUAGUUAUUGUUGCAGUGUUAUUCGUGGCGAUUGGGUGUACUAUCAGUUGUUGUUGCCCCAGAGUGUGUUCCAAUGAAGAAGACGGAGACUAAUGCGAGAAGGACGCAUCAAGCAUCUAUAUGGCAAAAGAAAUCUCUUUUAUGAAAUAUUU